GUUGCGGACAGUGUCUGGUGGGUAGUUUGACUGGGGCGGUCUCCUCCUAAAGAGUAACGGAGGAGCACGAAGGUUGGCUAAUCCUGGUCGGACAUCAGGAGGUUAGUGCAAUGGCAUAAGCCAGCUUGACUGCGAGCGUGACGGCGCGAGCAGGUGCGAAAGCAGGUCAUAGUGAUCCGGUGGUUCUGAAUGGAAGGGCCAUCGCUCAACGGAUAAAAGGUACUCCGGGGAUAACAGGCUGAUACCGCCCAAGAGUUCAUAUCGACGGCGGUGUUUGGCACCUCGAUGUCGGCUCAUCACAUCCUGGGGCUGAAGUAGGUCCCAAGGGUAUGGCUGUUCGCCAUUUAAAGUGGUACGCGAGCUGGGUUUAGAACGUCGUGAGACAGUUCGGUCCCUAUCUGCCGUGGGCGCUGGAGAACUGAGGGGGGCUGCUCCUAGUACGAGAGGACCGGAGUGGACGCAUCACUGGUGUUCGGGUUGUCAUGCCAAUGGCACUGCCCGGUAGCUAAAUGCGGAAGAGAUAAGUGCUGAAAGCAUCUAAGCACGAAACUUGCCCCGAGAUGAGUUCUCCCUGAGACUUAGAGUCUCCUGAAGGAACGUUGAAGACGACGACGUUGAUAGGCCGGGUGUGUAAGCGCAGCGAUGCGUUGAGCUAACCGGUACUAAUGAACCGUGAGGCUUAACCUUACAACGCCGAAG
This 699-nucleotide ribosomal RNA is filed under the name Salmonella enterica. RNAcentral's name for it is "partial 23S ribosomal RNA". It matches the Rfam family "Bacterial large subunit ribosomal RNA", at positions 2244 to 2925 of the family's 2925-position model. RNAcentral also lists the same sequence under 3 other names. The record is from RNAcentral. Lineage: Bacteria; Pseudomonadati; Pseudomonadota; Gammaproteobacteria; Enterobacterales; Enterobacteriaceae.